UUGAUCUUGGAAAGCAGUCUUUACUUCAUUGUUAAGAAACUCAAUGCUUGGUACCUGGAGCACCUCAGAUCUUUUCUGUUGGAAACCUGUAAGGAAGUGAAUGUUGUUCCAUCACCUCAGCCUUCAAGAUGUCUAUCCACUUGCAGCUUACAGACUUGCAGGAAUGCGCAUGGUUACACUGAAACGUUACAUUUGUUGUACAUUUUAGAUUCUAUCUAUCUAUAAACUGUUGGUGAUUUUGUGAAUUAGCCUAUUUCCAAAAAACGGCUGCCCACCACAUCACUUGUUUUCAGAGGGUUUGAGCGAUUUUGGUGCUUAAUGGAGGUAUAACCUUUAUUUUUUAAAAUAUUAUUUUCUUCUCACUAGACCACUUGACAUGGAUUCAGCAAUGCUCCGGCUGACCUUUGGUCACAGAAUAGAGAAAUUGAUUCUUCCAUCCGGAAUACCAGAGACUAUGGAGGAGCUGAACUUGGCCGUCAAGCAGACAUUAAGUAUCCCCAACGACUUCAGCCUGCAGUAUUUAGAUCCAGAAUUUGAGGACUUUUUUACUCUCAACUCCACUGCUGAAAUUACACACAAGGCCACAAUUAAGGUUGUGACAAUCGAACCAGUUGUUCUGAAUUUGUAUCCAGUACCACAUAAUGAAAGCUACGAUGAAAGUUUCACCUCAGAACAAUCCCAAGAUCCUGCCUCCACAAGUUCCACUGCACAAGACUCCUAUGACUCAUGUGAAUCAUCAUCUGCAAGCUCAGCCAUCAAGUCAUCAAGCAGCAGCCUACAAAAGAAACCAUGGCCAACUGAAUUCAUUAUUCCACGAUUCUCUGUUGAAACCGAAAUGAUUCUUAAAGAGCCAAUGAAGAUUACAGAAAAGACGGCAAACUGCUGACUACCCCAAACAUCAAGUCAGACAUACUUGAAAAGCUAGCUCAGUCCAUUUAUACAUACACUCCCUAUCCAUCACUCCAGAAUUGUCUUUCUGUUGCUGAAGCACUUAUCAAGGCACACCCAUGUCCGAAAGAUCCGGGGAGCUCUUCAGGCGUCAUUGGAUGGCAGAAUAGCAUUAAAUACAAGAUGGCUAACUACAGAACAAACCUAAGAGGCCUUGGUAUUCCAGAUGGUACAUGCAAUGCUCUGAAACAUAAAUGCCAUGCUGACAGGAAGUCUGCCAAAAAUGUAAAAAAGGCAAAAAGAGCAGAGGUCAAUUAUCUGCCACCCUACCCAGCUGGUGAAAAUGAGCAUAGCUUGGAGAAAGUAAGGGAAGAGCUGGUCAUCGAGUCAAAAAAGAAGAACAACGAAAAGAUAGUCAAAGACAAAAUGAGCAAAACAUUUGCCCUCAGACGACAUGAAAUCCUCAAUCAGUGUCCAAGUGUUCGAGCCAUGAAGAACCGCUGGCCUGCCCUGUUUGACCCUUCUCAGAUCAAUGCAGAAUUUCAAAGAACAACUACUGUACAUCUGGAGCCGAAAUUUAUGUCUGCGUUAGACCGUCACACUCCCAAGCAACUGACACUAUUUCGUGCCAAAGGUGGAGCACUUGGAAGAAGACUGGAGAUCAUAAUGGAACCGCUGGAGGACUCAGUGCACUCUUCGGUUGAGAGGACCAGAGAGGUUGUCCUUCGAUGUCUUAUAGAAUACCUUGGAGAACAAGGGGGACAUCUCAUCAAAUAAUUCAACGACACUGAGAACUUGGAGGAACUUGAAUGGCUCAUAAUGGCAAUUGCUGUGACCCCAAAGCCCGCAGAUUCUACAAGCAACAGCCCAAACAACAUUGGAAUUUUCAUAGAGGGCGUGGAAGUCAUCACAAGACUCAGAGAUAUUGCAAGGGCUUGCUCUGUCCUCCUUGGCUUGACCUACGCACUGAAUCUCGAUUAUCCCAGACAGCUAAAGUACACAUUUGAGGUAUUCCAAAAACUUUUCUUGGAAAUGGAUGAUUCAAAGCUGUCAAACAAAGUCCAGUCCCUCAAGAGCAUACUUCUGGCUUGAAAUGAGACUGUUGCAGUGCAAACAUUUGUGCUACACAAUGUUCAGCUUCUACAGAGCUUGAGAAUUGCACAUUUGAAAGUGCUAUGUGUGUAAGUUAGCACUGGACUCUUAUCCCACAAAUGUCAGUGACAUUUCUAUUGUGGGUAGUUCAAAGUGUAAAUGUUUUUUACUCUACACAUUACACUUUUCUGCUUUUGUUUUGGUACAUGCACUUCUGGAGGAUUUUUCUUUAAGAUCAUUAUGGAUCCAAUUUAGUGGCUAAGUGAGGUGAGAAAGCAUGGAAACACAUGUUUAUGGACACAUCACCACUGUGUAAUAGGGAAUUUAUUUUAGUUUUUACAAAAUAGUUUGAAGUCAGCAUUCUGUCCUUUUCAAAUUUCUCAUUUGAAAUUCAACGUCUAACUUCUGGCUUGAAAUGAGACUGUGGUUGCAGUGUUCACUG
Molecule: long non-coding RNA, 2422 nt
Organism: Eleginops maclovinus (Patagonian blennie)
Lineage: Eukaryota; Metazoa; Chordata; Actinopteri; Perciformes; Eleginopidae
Exons: 4
Source: RefSeq, a predicted model, not a curated record